GUUAUCACUUCAGCAACACAUACACUAAAAUUGGAAAGAUACUUAGAAGAUUAGUAUGGCCCCUGUUAAAGGAUGAUACAUAAAUUCAUGAAGCAUUCCAUAUUUUU
Molecule: small nuclear RNA, 107 nt
Organism: Erinaceus europaeus (western European hedgehog)
Lineage: Eukaryota; Metazoa; Chordata; Mammalia; Eulipotyphla; Erinaceidae
Source: Ensembl